RNAcentral lists this ribosomal RNA (776 nucleotides) under uncultured Neocallimastigales. RNAcentral describes it as "partial large subunit ribosomal RNA". It matches the Rfam family "Eukaryotic large subunit ribosomal RNA", at positions 20 to 616 of the family's 3401-position model. Lineage: Eukaryota; Fungi; Neocallimastigomycota; Neocallimastigomycetes; Neocallimastigales. The record is from RNAcentral.
UCUAGAGUAGCACUCGCAUAUCAAUAAGCGGAGGAAAAGAAACUAACAAGGAUUCCCCUAGUAACGGCGAGUGAAGCGGGAAGAGCUCAAAUUUGAAAUCUUAAAGGGUUUCCCUUUACGAAUUGUAGUUUAAAGAAGUGUUUUUCUGUUGAGGGUUUUGGUAAAAGUUCUUUGGAAUAGGACAUCAUAGAGGGUGAGAAUCCCGUAUUUGACCUUUACUUUCAACUUUGUGAUACACUUUCAAAGAGUCGGAUUGUUUGGGAAUGCAGUCCAAAAUGGGUGGUAAAUUUCAUCUAAAGCUAAAUAUUGGCGAGAGACCGAUAGCGAACAAGUACCGUGAGGGAAAGAUGAAAAGAACUUUGAAAAGAGAGUUAAACAGUACGUGAAAUUGUCAAAAGGGAAGCGUUUGACACCAGUGUUGUUUUUCUGAAAAUCAAUUAAAGAACUGUUUAUGCUAAGCUGUUUAGACUUUAUCAGCUAUCUGUUUAGUUUUUAGGCUUUUCUUUAAUGCACUUUUCAGUUAACAGGUCAACAUCAAUUUCUUUUGCUGUAAAAAAGCUUGAGGAAGGUGGCUUGAGAUUCGUCUUAAGUGUUUAUAGCCUCUUGCCUAUGCAGUCGGAGAGAUUGAGGUCUGCAGCGUAGGUCCUUCGGGGCUAAAUGCAUUUGUGCUAAGUUAUAGCAUUUUAUAGACAACUUGUUGACUAUGAUUUGUCUUGUAGCUUACUCGCUUAUGUUAUUUUACCUACGCUUAGGAUGUUGAGCGCAUGUCUCUCUCU